GCCUGGGUGGCUAAGAUGGUUAAGCAUCUGACUUCAGCUCAGGUCAUGAUCUCAUGGUUUGUGAGUUCGUGUCCUGCAUCAGGCU
This 85-nucleotide transfer RNA is filed under the name Felis catus (domestic cat). It matches the Rfam family "tRNA". From Rfam's summary of the family: Transfer RNA (tRNA) molecules are approximately 80 nucleotides in length. Their secondary structure includes four short double-helical elements and three loops (D, anti-codon, and T loops). RNAcentral also lists the same sequence under 2 other names. Lineage: Eukaryota; Metazoa; Chordata; Mammalia; Carnivora; Felidae. The record is from Rfam by way of RNAcentral.